This 1450-nucleotide long non-coding RNA is filed under the name Marmota monax (woodchuck). Lineage: Eukaryota; Metazoa; Chordata; Mammalia; Rodentia; Sciuridae. The record is from RNAcentral.
CGAACCUGGGCCGCAUGCAUGCCAGGCUAGCGCGCUACCGCUUGAGCCACAUCCCCAGCCCCAAUAUCAUUAAGUUUAAAUACUAACCCUGUCCAAGAUUUUAAACUAAUAGUCUAAAGAAUUCUAGUUUUUUUAAAAGUAUGAAGUUUAUUUAUAUUCAAAGCAGUGGCAACCGGAAAAAAAUGAAAAACUAGUAGCAUGCAGCUUUUUGAACUAUUCAAAACUACUACUGUAUGAAAAUACUAAUGAAAUAGGUUAUUCAUAAAGUAAUGCACUACAAAUAUCUCAGAUCUUGAACGGUUUUUCAGUAGGUCCUUUAUUCCAAGGUUCAGCUUGAGCAUCCCUAAUCCAAAAUAAGAUAUGCUUCAAAAUCCAAAAUUUUUUGAGUACCACAUGACACCAAAAGUGGAAAAUUCCAUACCUGAUCUCAUAUAAUGAGUCACAGUCAAAAUUCAGGCACACAAAUUGCAGGUAGGCAUGCUAAAAAAUAUUGUAUAAAAUUGCCUACAAAAUAUGUGUAUAAGAUGUACAUGAAGGCCAGGUGCAGUGGCACACUCCUUUAAUACCAGCAACUCCAGAGGCUGAAGCAGGAGGAUCACAGUUCAAGACCAACCUUGACAACUUAGUGAGACCUGUCUCAAAACGAAAGGGAUGGGUACGUAGUGCAGUGGUAGAGUACCCUAGGUUAAAUUUCCAAAACUACAUACACCACAACAAAGAAAAAGAAUAUACAUAUAUAUAUGGUAUAUAAAUGAGAUACAUAAAUUUCAUGUUUACUGAGAUUUGACCUCCAGUUAGAAUGGCAGCAAUCAAGAAUACAAAUAAUUAUAAAUACUGGAGAGGUUGUGGAGAAAAAGGAAUACUUUUAUACUGUUGCUGGGAUUAUAAAGUAGUACAACCACUAUAGAAGUCAGUAUGGAGAUGCCUCAAAAGACUAGAAAUGGAACCAGUAUAUCACCCAGGUAUAUCACUCAUCAGUAUUUAUCCUAAAGAAUUAAAGGUCAGCAUACUAUAGUGAUACAAACAUACUCAUAUUUAUAGCAGCACAAUUCACAAUCACAAACUCUGGAACCAACCUACGUGUCAAUGGAUGAAUGGAUAAAGAAAACGUGCUAUAUAUACACAGUGGAGGUUUUUUCAGUAAUAAAGAUGAAUAAAAUUAUGUCAUUUGCAGGAAAAUGGAUGAAACUUGAGAACAUUGUGUUAAGUGAAAUAAGCCAAACUCAGGAAGUCAAAGGUCAUAUGUUUUCUCUCACAUGUGGAAGCUAGAGAGGAAAAAGGAAAAGAAAGGUGGGUCAGGCGAGAGCAAUAGAGUAGAGGAAAGGGAUUAGGAGAAUGGAGGCAGGAGGAAAAUGAGGGAAUGAUAUUGGUGAAAUUGUUAUAUCAUGUGCAUGUACAAGUAUGUAACAAAUCCCACCGUUAUGUAUAAUUAUGCACCAAUAAAAAUGUG